RNAcentral lists this non-coding RNA (29 nucleotides) under Mus musculus (house mouse). Lineage: Eukaryota; Metazoa; Chordata; Mammalia; Rodentia; Muridae. The record is from RNAcentral.
UGAGAGUUGGCUCUUCUAAGUGCUUUUGC